UUUCUGUGGUUUUUUCCCCUUAAAGUAAGGGUGGAAUUGAUAUUUUACAACUUAACUAACUGUCAACUAAUGAAAAAGUAGUAAUAUGUAAUAUUUUUUAAUUCUUUAAUAGUAAAAUGUUAUGAUGUGAUACUUAUUGCACCGAAUUGUUAUUUCACAAUAACUAAGUAGUAAAAAGAAAAUAAACCUUUUAUUUAAUAUUAAUUUUAAUACAAAAAGUCAUUUUUACCCUUCAAUAAUGACAUUUUUCGUUAAUAUUUUAAAGUCAGAGACGAAUCGUGAUAUUGAAAAUUUAUGCAAACAAAUAGAAUCCGAAUGGUAAAAAAAAUUGAUGGUAAUUCUUCUACAAACGAAGCAUUUUGGAAGAUUACAAAUGACACGAGGAGUGAGAAAUUAACAAUAAGAGCAAGGGCCGCCCAAAUCCGAGGCCCAAGCCCAGCUAAGGCAGUUGCCCGAAGAAUGCACACCCAAUCCAGGGCCCUAAUACGUUUUAGGCUGUUUAUUGAUAAACCUUAAGAAAAUCAUGAAAAUAAAACAUGUUCAUGCAUCUUAACAAAGUCCUGAAGUUACAUUUAACUUGACGCCAGGAAAAACUCACUAACUGAUUUUCUUGUCCUUACUAUCUUGUUACUCAUUUUUACAUUGCUUUGCCUGGCUGUAACUUAAACAAACCUUUUAACAAAUAUUUAAAGACUUAGAAUCUUAAUAAACAUAGCAAGACUCACGGUGUAUUUUUUUUUAAUUUUUAAAAUCAGCCAAUCAUAUCUAAAGAUGGCUAAUGGGCUGUGUUAAGUGUUACCCUACAGGCCUACGAGCACAGUCUUAUUAAAGUAAUUUUUAAAGAUAAGUAAUUGAAUGUCAUUAUUGUAGCUCCUAUUGACUCAAACAAAAAUAAAUUAAAGGAAGAAUUUUUUUUUUUUUACACUUACCUAAAACUCCUAUAAUUGCAUCCGCACGAGGGUUCUCUUAUUUGUUACAGAAUUCGUAAUCUUUUUAAAUAAUCGAGUUCGGAUUAAGGUAGCGUUUACUUUUUGAAUUGGAUUGGGAAUCCUGAGGAGUGGGAAUCCUAGGAUUGGGAGUGUGGAGUGGGAGUGAGAGUAGGUUGUUUACUUACACUGGAAUGGAAGCAUGGAAUGGAGAUCAGAAUCCAAUUUAUGUGUUUACUUUAUCUUGGAUUGGGAGUAAAUAGUUUCAAAUUACAAUUUUAUCCUUAUUUAAAGAAUUAUAAUUUUUAAUUACAAAACUAAUAAAAAAAUAUAUUUAAUGAAUAAUAUUUAUUUUAUUAUAUCUGUAAAUUUAUUAUAAUUAUUAAUAUUCUUAAUUAUGAACAAUAAAUUAUUAAUUGUAAUUUUAAUAUAAAAUGAAAUGUUAUUUUAUUUUAUUUAAUAUAAUUAUAUUAAAUUUAUUAUUAUAUAAAAUAAUAAUAUAAUAUUAUUUAGUACAAAAUUAAUAUUUUCUUAGAAUAAAGUAUUUAUUAUUAUUAUUAAAUAAAUAUAGUACUAUUAUUUUUAAAAUAAAUAUAAUAAUAUUAUAUUUAUUAAUUCUCUAUUAAUAUAAUAAUAUUAUUUUAAAAUAAUUUUAACUUAGAAUCAAUGUAAAUUAUUAUUUAGUUAAAUAUAAUAUUAUUAUUUAAAUAAAUAUAAUAUUAUUUAUUUUAUUUUAUUAAUUAUAUAACAUAAAAUAAAAAAAGGGUAGAAAUGGGAGAGGUGGGAGUGGAUUUCCACUCCCACCUCCCCCAAUGGGAGUCCCACUCCCACUCCCCACUCCAAAAAUGAGUGGGGCCCACGGAGUGAGACUCCCAAUCCCUCCCCAUUUUAAGUAAGUAAACACUGGAGUGGGAGGAAUCCACACUCCUCACUCCCACUCCAGCAAGUAAACACAACAUAAGUGGAGUGAUGAUCCUUCGAAAAUGGACCCGGAUGAGCCUUAGAUAUCAGUGUUCCAAAAAAUAAAAAGUCAUUUUACUCCUUUUGGGGUCUGUUCAGUGCCCAAUCUUAGGGAGUGCAUUACUUUUCAAAGAUAGAGUAAUCCUAGUUUGCCUGGACGAAACUACCCGAAUUUCACCAGACAAGCCGGAAGCUAUAGGCCUUGGGAAGGCUCCUACCGGAUGGUUUAGAAAUAGCAUGAAAUGAAUUAUAAAAUCUUAAUACAUACAUCAACUCUUAACCUUCAAAGCCACAUCAUCGACUAAUCCAUCAUCACGUUAUAGUCAACCUUUUAAAUAUUUUUGGCAACAGAUUGUUCAACUAAUUAUAUGGUUAUCAUCUGCAUAAGCGUCAAUAAUUCUAUCCUAAUAAGACAACUUUUAGCAUGCGGCUAAAGUAAUAAAUUAUGUCUCAGCCAUAAAUCUAAUAGCAUUAUUAUUCUAAUCUCAACAAAGCUCCUGAU
This 2388-nucleotide long non-coding RNA is filed under the name Citrus x clementina. RNAcentral's name for it is "Citrus clementina (C. clementina) long non-coding RNA (CCLE_LNC001415)". Lineage: Eukaryota; Viridiplantae; Streptophyta; Magnoliopsida; Sapindales; Rutaceae. The record is from RNAcentral.